UAGAAUCCCAAAUCCUACUGAAACUUUCGGUUAUUGCUCCUUCAUCCCUUUAUGUUCGUAAUCAAACUCCGUUGCGUCUCUUCGUUGUGUCCGUUCAUCUUGUUUCUUUAGUUUUUUGGUCUUCGUCUUCAUCUUUUCAAUAAAAGAUUCUUAAACAUACAUCUAGUUCGAUGAUUCAAGAAUUUUGGGUUGACCGAAAAAAAUACAGAGACGAAGAACGCAGCCUCAAAAUCAUGUCUAAAAUCAAUGAAGAUGAACUGCACGAGUUCAAGAUUGGGUUCUUGUACAACUCUUGACCGCCAUGGAAGCGUUACACGACGAGAUUUUUCUAUAAUAUUUACUUUCGAACUUCCAUAAAGAAAUUCUUUUUGGAUCAUGAAUUCAAUAGGGUUUUUCAUUCAGCAAAACCUAGGAUUUAAUGAGUCUGAUGUUUCAGAGGUGUCACCAUGUAAGCGUUACGUACAUUACAAGAAACUCUUGGGAAGAGGGGCAUUCAAAGACGUCUACGGAGGUUUCGAUCGGGCUAGUAAUACAG
This 535-nucleotide long non-coding RNA is filed under the name Olea europaea subsp. europaea. Lineage: Eukaryota; Viridiplantae; Streptophyta; Magnoliopsida; Lamiales; Oleaceae. The record is from RNAcentral.